CCUACGGGUGGCAGCAGUGAGGAAUAUUGGUCAAUGGACGAGAGUCUGAACCAGCCAAGUAGCGUGAAGGAUGACUGCCCUAUGGGUUGUAAACUUCUUUUAUAUGAGAAUAAAAUGUUCCACGUGUGGGAUUUUGUAUGUACCAUAUGAAUAAGGAUCGGCUAACUCCGUGCCAGCAGCCGCGGUAAUACGGAGGAUCCGAGCGUUAUCCGGAUUUAUUGGGUUUAAAGGGAGCGUAGGUGGAUUGUUAAGUCAGUUGUGAAAGUUUGCGGCUCAACCGUAAAAGUGCAGUUGAAACUGGCAGUCUUGAGUACAGGAGAGGUGGGCGGAAUUCGUGGUGUAGCGGUGAAAUGCUUAGAUAUCACGAAGAACUCCGAUUGCGAAGGCAGUUCACUGGACUGCAACUGACGCUGAGGCUCGAAAGUGUGGGUAUCAAACAGGAUUAGAUACCCGAGUAGUC
This 460-nucleotide ribosomal RNA is filed under the name uncultured bacterium. RNAcentral describes it as "partial 16S ribosomal RNA". It matches the Rfam family "Bacterial small subunit ribosomal RNA", at positions 338 to 795 of the family's 1533-position model. The record is from RNAcentral.